Non-coding RNA from Phyllosticta capitalensis, 100 nucleotides. Lineage: Eukaryota; Fungi; Ascomycota; Dothideomycetes; Botryosphaeriales; Phyllostictaceae. The record is from the annotation of a GenBank genome assembly.
GCGGGGUUGGUGUAGUUGGUCAUCACGUCAGUCUAACAAGCUUCUCAAUCGAGAGCGCGUUGUGCACUGAAGGUCGCGAGUUCAAGUCUCGCAUCCCGUA